RNAcentral lists this ribosomal RNA (2893 nucleotides) under Escherichia coli. Its description in RNAcentral is "bacterial LSU rRNA". It matches the Rfam family "Bacterial large subunit ribosomal RNA". Lineage: Bacteria; Pseudomonadati; Pseudomonadota; Gammaproteobacteria; Enterobacterales; Enterobacteriaceae. The record is from RNAcentral.
ACUAAGCGUACACGGUGGAUGCCCUGGCAGUCAGAGGCGAUGAAGGACGUGCUAAUCUGCGAUAAGCGUCGGUAAGGUGAUAUGAACCGUUAUAACCGGCGAUUUCCGAAUGGGGAAACCCAGUGUGAUUCGUCACACUAUCAUUAACUGAAUCCAUAGGUUAAUGAGGCGAACCGGGGGAACUGAAACAUCUAAGUACCCCGAGGAAAAGAAAUCAACCGAGAUUCCCCCAGUAGCGGCGAGCGAACGGGGAGCAGCCCAGAGCCUGAAUCAGUGUGUGUGUUAGUGGAAGCGUCUGGAAAGGCGCGCGAUACAGGGUGACAGCCCCGUACACAAAAAUGCACAUGCUGUGAGCUCGAUGAGUAGGGCGGGACACGUGGUAUCCUGUCUGAAUAUGGGGGGACCAUCCUCCAAGGCUAAAUACUCCUGACUGACCGAUAGUGAACCAGUACCGUGAGGGAAAGGCGAAAAGAACCCCGGCGAGGGGAGUGAAAAAGAACCUGAAACCGUGUACGUACAAGCAGUGGGAGCACGCUUAGGCGUGUGACUGCGUACCUUUUGUAUAAUGGGUCAGCGACUUAUAUUCUGUAGCAAGGUUAACCGAAUAGGGGAGCCGAAGGGAAACCGAGUCUUAACUGGGCGUUAAGUUGCAGGGUAUAGACCCGAAACCCGGUGAUCUAGCCAUGGGCAGGUUGAAGGUUGGGUAACACUAACUGGAGGACCGAACCGACUAAUGUUGAAAAAUUAGCGGAUGACUUGUGGCUGGGGGUGAAAGGCCAAUCAAACCGGGAGAUAGCUGGUUCUCCCCGAAAGCUAUUUAGGUAGCGCCUCGUGAAUUCAUCUCCGGGGGUAGAGCACUGUUUCGGCAAGGGGGUCAUCCUGACUUACCAACCCGAUGCAAACUGCGAAUACCGGAGAAUGUUAUCACGGGAGACACACGGCGGGUGCUAACGUCCGUCGUGAAGAGGGAAACAACCCAGACCGCCAGCUAAGGUCCCAAAGUCAUGGUUAAGUGGGAAACGAUGUGGGAAGGCCCAGACAGCCAGGAUGUUGGCUUAGAAGCAGCCAUCAUUUAAAGAAAGCGUAAUAGCUCACUGGUCGAGUCGGCCUGCGCGGAAGAUGUAACGGGGCUAAACCAUGCACCGAAGCUGCGGCAGCGACGCUGAUGCGUUGUUGGGUAGGGGAGCGUUCUGUAAGCCUGUGAAGGUGUGCUGUGAGGCAUGCUGGAGGUAUCAGAAGUGCGAAUGCUGACAUAAGUAACGAUAAAGCGGGUGAAAAGCCCGCUCGCCGGAAGACCAAGGGUUCCUGUCCAACGUUAAUCGGGGCAGGGUGAGUCGACCCCUAAGGCGAGGCCGAAAGGCGUAGUCGAUGGGAAACAGGUUAAUAUUCCUGUACUUGGUGUUACUGCGAAGGGGGGACGGAGAAGGCUAUGUUGGCCGGGCGACGGUUGUCCCGGUUUAAGCGUGUAGGCUGGUUUUCCAGGCAAAUCCGGAAAACUAAGGCUGAGGCGUGAUGACGAGGCACUACGGUGCUGAAGCAACAAAUGCCCUGCUUCCAGGAAAAGCCUCUAAGCAUCAGGUAACAUCAAAUCGUACCCCAAACCGACACAGGUGGUCAGGUAGAGAAUACCAAGGCGCUUGAGAGAACUCGGGUGAAGGAACUAGGCAAAAUGGUGCCGUAACUUCGGGAGAAGGCACGCUGAUAUGUAGGUGAAGUCCCUCGCGGAUGGAGCUGAAAUCAGUCGAAGAUACCAGCUGGCUGCAACUGUUUAUUAAAAACACAGCACUGUGCAAACACGAAAGUGGACGUAUACGGUGUGACGCCUGCCCGGUGCCGGAAGGUUAAUUGAUGGGGUUAGCGCAAGCGAAGCUCUUGAUCGAAGCCCCGGUAAACGGCGGCCGUAACUAUAACGGUCCUAAGGUAGCGAAAUUCCUUGUCGGGUAAGUUCCGACCUGCACGAAUGGCGUAAUGAUGGCCAGGCUGUCUCCACCCGAGACUCAGUGAAAUUGAACUCGCUGUGAAGAUGCAGUGUACCCGCGGCAAGACGGAAAGACCCCGUGAACCUUUACUAUAGCUUGACACUGAACAUUGAGCCUUGAUGUGUAGGAUAGGUGGGAGGCUUUGAAGUGUGGACGCCAGUCUGCAUGGAGCCGACCUUGAAAUACCACCCUUUAAUGUUUGAUGUUCUAACGUUGACCCGUAAUCCGGGUUGCGGACAGUGUCUGGUGGGUAGUUUGACUGGGGCGGUCUCCUCCUAAAGAGUAACGGAGGAGCACGAAGGUUGGCUAAUCCUGGUCGGACAUCAGGAGGUUAGUGCAAUGGCAUAAGCCAGCUUGACUGCGAGCGUGACGGCGCGAGCAGGUGCGAAAGCAGGUCAUAGUGAUCCGGUGGUUCUGAAUGGAAGGGCCAUCGCUCAACGGAUAAAAGGUACUCCGGGGAUAACAGGCUGAUACCGCCCAAGAGUUCAUAUCGACGGCGGUGUUUGGCACCUCGAUGUCGGCUCAUCACAUCCUGGGGCUGAAGUAGGUCCCAAGGGUAUGGCUGUUCGCCAUUUAAAGUGGUACGCGAGCUGGGUUUAGAACGUCGUGAGACAGUUCGGUCCCUAUCUGCCGUGGGCGCUGGAGAACUGAGGGGGGCUGCUCCUAGUACGAGAGGACCGGAGUGGACGCAUCACUGGUGUUCGGGUUGUCAUGCCAAUGGCACUGCCCGGUAGCUAAAUGCGGAAGAGAUAAGUGCUGAAAGCAUCUAAGCACGAAACUUGCCCCGAGAUGAGUUCUCCCUGACUCCUUGAGAGUCCUGAAGGAACGUUGAAGACGACGACGUUGAUAGGCCGGGUGUGUAAGCGCAGCGAUGCGUUGAGCUAACCGGUACUAAUGAACCGUGAGGCUUAACC